This 308-nucleotide unclassified non-coding RNA is filed under the name rhizosphere metagenome. Its description in RNAcentral is "partial ribosomal RNA internal transcribed spacer region". The record is from RNAcentral.
GUAGGUGAACCUGCGGAAGGAUCAUUAACACGUUAUCCACGUAUCAACCAAACCGUGAACUUGAAUCGUAUGCCAGUUUACGCUGUCGAGAGGGAGUGAAGAAGGGAUUCUUCUCUCUGCUUUCCCCAGUGUUUAACUGCAUCGUUGUUUCAAUUACCAAAAUCACCCCUGAUGUCUCUCUUUCUUCCUCACGGGAGAAGGAGAAGCAUUGGUUUUCUCUAUAUUUCUUAUUGAAGCGCAGGGCCUUUUCGGCUUUGUCUUCUAACACAAACUCUGUACAACUCUUAGCAACGGAUAUCUUGGUUUCC